RNAcentral lists this ribosomal RNA (447 nucleotides) under uncultured bacterium. RNAcentral's name for it is "bacterial SSU rRNA". It matches the Rfam family "Bacterial small subunit ribosomal RNA", at positions 330 to 793 of the family's 1533-position model. The record is from RNAcentral.
UCCAGACUCCUACGGGAGGCAGCAGUGGGGGAUAUUGCACAAUGGGGGAAACCCUGAUGCAGCGACGCCGCGUGAGUGAAGAAGUAUUUCGGUAUGUAAAGCUCUAUCAGCAGGGAAGAAAAAAGACGGUACCUGACUAAGAAGCCCCGGCUAACUACGUGCCAGCAGCCGCGGUAAUACGUAGGGGGCAAGCGUUAUCCGGAUUUACUGGGUGUAAAGGGAGCGUAGACGGCAAUACAAGUCGGAAGUGAAAUACCCGGGCUCAACCUGGGAACUGCUUUGGAAACUGUAUGGCUGGAGUGCUGGAGAGGUAAGCGGAAUUCCUAGUGUAGCGGUGAAAUGCGUAGAUAUUAGGAGGAACACCAGUGGCGAAGGCGGCUUACUGGACAGUAACUGACACUGAGGCUCGAAAGCGUGGGGAGCAAACAGGAUUAGAUACCCUUGUAC